GAGCGGAAAGGCCCUUCGGGGUACUCGAGCGGCGAACGGGUGAGUAACACGUGAGCAACCUGCCCCUAGCUCUGGGAUAGCUCCGGGAAACCGGGAUUAAUACCGGAUAUGACCACUUUAGACAUCUGCUGUGGUGGAAAGGAUUCCGGCUAGGGAUGGGCUCGCGGCCUAUCAGCUUGUUGGUGGGGUAACGGCCUACCAAGGCGACGACGGGUAGCCGGCCUGAGAGGGCGACCGGCCACACUGGGACUGAGACACGGCCCAGACUCCUACGGGAGGCAGCAGUGGGGAAUAUUGCGCAAUGGGCGAAAGCCUGACGCAGCGACGCCGCGUGGGGGAUGAAGGCCUUCGGGUUGUAAACCCCUUUCAGCAGGGACGAAGCGAAAGUGACGGUACCUGCAGAAGAAGCGCCGGCUAACUACGUG
RNAcentral lists this ribosomal RNA (425 nucleotides) under uncultured bacterium. Its description in RNAcentral is "bacterial SSU rRNA". It matches the Rfam family "Bacterial small subunit ribosomal RNA", at positions 64 to 507 of the family's 1533-position model. The record is from RNAcentral.